UGUGGCGGGGCGGGACGAAUGGAGCU
Molecule: unclassified non-coding RNA, 26 nt
Filed under: Mus musculus (house mouse)
Lineage: Eukaryota; Metazoa; Chordata; Mammalia; Rodentia; Muridae
Description: oocyte_clustered_small_RNA2775
Source: RNAcentral